This is a non-coding RNA of Culex pipiens (northern house mosquito), 74 nucleotides long. The record is from Rfam. Lineage: Eukaryota; Metazoa; Arthropoda; Insecta; Diptera; Culicidae.
GCCCGUGUGGAUCAAUCGGAUCGCGCACUGGACUCACAACCCAGAGGUCGCCGGUUCGAAUCCCGCGGCGGGCG